This 61-nucleotide transfer RNA is filed under the name Cerogria popularis. RNAcentral describes it as "tRNA-Ile". Lineage: Eukaryota; Metazoa; Arthropoda; Insecta; Coleoptera; Tenebrionidae. The record is from RNAcentral.
AAUAAGAUGCCUGAAAAAGGAUUAUUUUGAUGGAAUAAAUUAUGUAGAUAUACUCUUAUUA